This 253-nucleotide ribosomal RNA is filed under the name uncultured bacterium. RNAcentral's name for it is "partial 16S ribosomal RNA". It matches the Rfam family "Bacterial small subunit ribosomal RNA", at positions 524 to 776 of the family's 1533-position model. The record is from RNAcentral.
UACGAAGGGGGCUAGCGUUGCUCGGAAUCACUGGGCGUAAAGCGCACGUAGGCGGAUUGUUAAGUCAGGGGUGAAAUCCUGGAGCUCAACUCCAGAACUGCCUUUGAUACUGGCGAUCUUGAGUCCGGGAGAGGUGAGUGGAACUGCGAGUGUAGAGGUGAAAUUCGUAGAUAUUCGCAAGAACACCAGUGGCGAAGGCGGCUCACUGGCCCGGUACUGACGCUGAGGUGCGAAAGCGUGGGGAGCGAACAGG